This 253-nucleotide ribosomal RNA is filed under the name uncultured bacterium. Its description in RNAcentral is "partial 16S ribosomal RNA". It matches the Rfam family "Bacterial small subunit ribosomal RNA", at positions 524 to 776 of the family's 1533-position model. The record is from RNAcentral.
GACAGAGGUGGCAAGCGUUGUUCGGAUUUACUGGGCGUAAAGGGUUCGUAGGUGGCUUGCUAAGUCAGACGUGAAAUCCCUCAGCUUAACUGGGGAACUGCGUCUGAGACUGGUGAGCUUGAGUGCAGGAGAGGAACGCGGAAUUCCAGGUGUAGCGGUGAAAUGCGUAGAUAUCUGGAGGAACACCGGUGGCGAAGGCGGCGUUCUGGACUGCUACUGACACUGAGGAACGAAAGCCAGGGGAGCAAACGGG